UACCCGCAGCACAAGUGGUGGUCAUUAUUAUUGGGCCUAAAGCGUCCGUAGCUGGCUUGUUAGAUGCCUGGGUAAAUCGAUGCGCUUAACGCAUCGAAUUCCGGGUAGACCGGCAAGCUCGAGACCGGGAGAGGUGUAGGGUACUCGGGGGGUAGGGGUAAAAUCCUGUAAUCCUCCGGGGACGACCAGUGGCGAAGGCGCUACACUAGGACGGCUCUGACAGUGAGGGACGAAGCCCUGGGGCGCAAACCGG
RNAcentral lists this ribosomal RNA (253 nucleotides) under uncultured bacterium. Its description in RNAcentral is "partial 16S ribosomal RNA". It matches the Rfam family "Archaeal small subunit ribosomal RNA", at positions 474 to 727 of the family's 1478-position model. The record is from RNAcentral.